This 82-nucleotide transfer RNA is filed under the name Ceratobasidium sp. 428. RNAcentral describes it as "tRNA-Arg". It matches the Rfam family "tRNA". Rfam says of the family: Transfer RNA (tRNA) molecules are approximately 80 nucleotides in length. Their secondary structure includes four short double-helical elements and three loops (D, anti-codon, and T loops). Lineage: Eukaryota; Fungi; Basidiomycota; Agaricomycetes; Cantharellales; Ceratobasidiaceae. The record is from RNAcentral.
GGCCGCCUGGCGAAAUGGUAUCGCGUCUGACUACGAUUGUGUAUAAAUCAGGAGAUUGCAGGUUCGAGCCCUGCGGUGGUCA